Molecule: ribosomal RNA, 557 nt
Filed under: Bifidobacterium breve
Lineage: Bacteria; Bacillati; Actinomycetota; Actinomycetes; Bifidobacteriales; Bifidobacteriaceae
Description: bacterial SSU rRNA
Rfam family: Bacterial small subunit ribosomal RNA
Source: RNAcentral
UCUCCUGGAAAACGGGUGGUAAUGCCGGAUGCUCCAUCACACCGCAUGGUGUGUUGGGAAAGCCUUUGCGGCAUGGGAUGGGGUCGCGUCCUAUCAGCUUGAUGGCGGGGUAACGGCCCACCAUGGCUUCGACGGGUAGCCGGCCUGAGAGGGCGACCGGCCACAUUGGGACUGAGAUACGGCCCAGACUCCUACGGGAGGCAGCAGUGGGGAAUAUUGCACAAUGGGCGCAAGCCUGAUGCAGCGACGCCGCGUGAGGGAUGGAGGCCUUCGGGUUGUAAACCUCUUUUGUUAGGGAGCAAGGCAUUUUGUGUUGAGUGUACCUUUCGAAUAAGCACCGGCUAACUACGUGCCAGCAGCCGCGGUAAUACGUAGGGUGCAAGCGUUAUCCGGAAUUAUUGGGCGUAAAGGGCUCGUAGGCGGUUCGUCGCGUCCGGUGUGAAAGUCCAUCGCUUAACGGUGGAUUCGCGCCGGGUACGGGCGGGCUUGAGUGCGGUAGGGGAGACUGGAAUUCCCGGUGUAACGGUGGAAUGUGUAGAUAUCGGAAAAGAACACCA